AGCAGCCGCGGUAAUUCCAGCUCCAAUAGCGUAUAUUAAAGUUGUUGCAGUUAAAAAGCUCGUAGUUGAAUUUCGAGAUCAGUACGCUGGUCGUGCCUUCGGUAUGUACUGGUGUCACUGGUUUCUCCCUUCUGAAGAACCGUUAUGUCAUUAAGUUGGUGUGGCGGGGAAUCAGGACUGUUACUUUGAAAAAAUUAGAGUGUUUAAAGCAGGCUCGCGCUUGAAUACAUUAGCAUGGAAUAAUGAAAUAGGACGUUUGACCCUAUUUUGUUGGUUUCUAGGAUCGACGUAAUGAUUAAUAGGGAUAGUUGGGGGCAUUAGUAUUCAAUUGUCAGAGGUGAAAUUCUUGGAUUUAUUGAAGACUAACUACUGCGAAAGCAUUUGCCAAGGAUGUUUUCAUUAAUCAAGAACGAAAGUUAGGGGAUCGAAGACGAUCAGAUACCGUCGUAGUCUUAACCAUAAACUAUGCCGACUAGGGAUCGGAUGAUGUUAAUUUUUUAAUGACUCA
RNAcentral lists this ribosomal RNA (508 nucleotides) under uncultured Glomeraceae. RNAcentral's name for it is "SSU rRNA". It matches the Rfam family "Eukaryotic small subunit ribosomal RNA", at positions 569 to 1078 of the family's 1831-position model. Lineage: Eukaryota; Fungi; Glomeromycota; Glomeromycetes; Glomerales; Glomeraceae. The record is from RNAcentral.